RNAcentral lists this ribosomal RNA (483 nucleotides) under uncultured bacterium. RNAcentral describes it as "bacterial SSU rRNA". It matches the Rfam family "Bacterial small subunit ribosomal RNA", at positions 15 to 507 of the family's 1533-position model. The record is from RNAcentral.
GAUCCUGGCUCAGGGAUGAACGCUGCGGCGUGCUUAACACAUGCAAGUCGAACGAAGACAUCUGAGUGCUUGCACUUGGAUGGACUGAGUGGCGGACGGGUGAGUAACGCGUGGGUAACCUGCCUUAUACAGGGGGAUAACAGUUGGAAACGACUGCUAAUACCGCAUAAGCGCACGGUAUCGCAUGAUACAGUGUAGAAAAACUCCGGUGGUAUAAGAUGGACCCGCGUCUGAUUAGCUUGUUGGUGAGGUAACGGCCCACCAAGGCGACGAUCAGUAGCCGGCCUGAGAGGGUGAACGGCCACAUUGGGACUGAGACACGGCCCAAACUCCUACGGGAGGCAGCAGUGGGGAAUAUUGCACAAUGGGGGAAACCCUGAUGCAGCGACGCCGCGUGAGUGAUGAAGUAUUUCGGUAUGUAAAACUCUAUCAGCAGGGAAGAUAAUGACGGUACCUGACUAAGAAGCACCGGCUAAAUACGUG